UUGGGGUGAGUCAAUUAUCAGGAAAUUUUAAUUUGAAAGUGAACUAAUCCUUUAAUGUCAGCUUGCUUAUUUUGCUCAAGAUAAUGAUUUAUGAACUCCACAUGUCAUAAAAACAAGAAAUUAUGCUUCUAAACAUAGCUGUCGUUCCAGCCACACAAGUUUGCGAUGCAGUUUGUGAAUGUUCAUUUGAACGAUGGUUUCAGGAAACACCAAAUCGUUGAACUGAACUAUGUUAGUUACGACAGAACUUGUGAUGUUAGCUGGGAAACGCACCCCAGGUUAGUAAUAAGUGAAGCUGGUAAUGUUGUUUGUGGAGUUGUUUAAUUUAUUCUAAUGUUUUUAGGAACAUCAUACUAACCUUUAAAUGGUGUUAAUGACUGUUAAUAUUAAGGGGAAAAAAUGCAUUUUUAUGUUCUUGGAAUGUUACAAAUAAACAUUCCUAUAAUGUUGAGUUGUUGUUAAAAAUUUAGUUAAAAGAACAUUUCAGGAACUUCAUACUAACCUUAAAAAAACUCCACUAACAUUAAAUGUUCCUCAUCUACGUGUGCAGAUGCAUACAUGCUGGCUAAUAAUUGUCCUCUUUACUGUAAAUCAUGCUCAAAUUGAAAGUAAAAUCCAGUAAAUGCCAGCCCAACAUUGACAUUGACCAUGUAAACACUCAAUAAAGUAAAUGUUUUCAACCUUUAGAGGUCAAAUGUUACAGAGCCUAACCUUUCACUUCAAACCUUCACAUUCCAAAGACUCUUUAAUAAUGACAUUUUCAACUUACACAGUCAAAUGGAUGCUGUAUUUGUCUUGUUUCACUUGACUUUCUUUUUAGCCCAAGUUUUACAUCUGUAGCAAUAGUGAUUUAAGUCAUCUUAUGAUCUAUCAUGAGUACGUAUGCAGGGUUUCAAGUUGACUGUCUGACGUCACGACUCGAUCAACCAUAUUCACACUCUUUGGACUGUUAUUUAUCCACUUAAACACACACAAACUGUUAACAUCAUUAUUUUGAAGCACGAAGUGAGAUGGCAGGCCUAGACACAUGUGAAAAGUGAUUGCCUUAAAGUUCUCAAGCAAGUUGUAAGUUGUUAAUACAAAGACAUAAGGGGUGUGACGAUACACUUAGCUCACGGGAUGAUACACGAGAUUGGGUUCAUGAGACAAGACGAUAUUUUAACACUGUUUUUAAGAAAUCUUCAAUGACAAAAUAUGUGACAGAAAGUCACAAAAUGCAAAACACUGUAGGUGCAUUUGGAAAUGUUUUAAGUAAUCUAGGGCCUUCACAAAUGAUAGCCUUUAAAAUCAUUUAAAAUACAUAUAAUAACAAUGAGGCAAUAAUAAUUGGUUCAAAUAAAGUAUCAAAAGCAAGUAAUCAUUUGGUUUUAUUGAACAACACUGUUAAAAUACAUAAUGUAGUAUACAUAAUAUAAACGUGAUCAAUGGAGUAUAUCCCUCCUUCUGUGUCCCAACUGGCACCCUAAACCCUUGCGGUCUUCCUACGAGUCCGCACUUUCUUGAUGUAACACCGCGUUGACUGUCAGGAAAAAGUCUGGCGCAAGACUACGGGACACCCUACGGUCUUCGUGGACUUAUUGGACAUUUUAAGUCCACAAGACCGAAAGUGCACAUGAAGUGUGCCAUUUGGGACAGGGCCGAAGUAAAAGAGCCAAUCGUUAAUUGAUAAAGUCAUUGAGUCACUGCAGCUGCAGUUUGAAGGUCUGGUUCCCAUAGAAACCUGAGACUCCCGCUUAGGACUGCACAUGUGCAUUGGCUCGUCUAGCCUGAAAAGCCUUUUUAACGCUAUUUGAGCACAAGAAACAACAUUUAUGCGAUAGUUCAUGUGAGAUUUUUUUGUUAUUUAAUUAGGAGUUUGCCAAGCAAUUUUUGAGAUUUCAGGAUUCCCCCAUUCAAAUAGAUAGCCUAGGAUUUGGUCUUAAAUGCCGAAAUAGCUGCCCGGAGGCGUUGCAAAUAUGUUUUUGUUGUUUCAUCCUCCUCUGCUGAGACCUUGUUUAGUGUUUAAUGUUCUGUUGGGAUUAAAGGGGUUUCUGUUGUCUGAGUUUUGUGGGUCACAAUUGUGCUGAAGAGUAUAGCCAGGAGAAGAUCAGGAAACACUGAUGAUAUGCAGCAUGUUGCUUAAUUUAAAAAGCAGUGACUGUGUUGCAGUGAUGUCUAUUAACUGCUUGGUUAAGUUGAUGUUUUUUAAUUUCAAUUUUUUUGUUAUUAAUUCAGUUAAAUUUCAGAUGUACGCAAAGUAUUUGAAAAGUAUUUGCAAUUAAACAAAUACAAAUACAUGCAAAUAAAGACAUUAAAUCUACUAACCAGACUGACUUCAUUUCUGUUAUUCGUCUACAGUUCUUUUUGAGAAUUAAUAGAGGUUUAGAUGUUGAUGUGUUAUAUAAAAAAAAAAAUGUAGUCACCAUAAUGAUGAUCAGUGUUUCGUGUAGUUGGGCAGUUUGACUCUUUGAUUUUUAUGUCAGUUUGUGGUUUUUGUAGCAGUGUUUACCAAAACACAUAAUUUGUUACAAAGAACAAUCAUCAGUGUUAGUGGUAGUAAGUUUGAUCAACUCAAAAAUAAGAUAAUUUUCUUGUUAUAUUUAAGGCAAUCAUUUUCCUUAAGUAACAAUCAAAGCUCAAUGAUCAAGUUCUGCCUGUAUUUGUGCAUGUUUCUAACAAAUCAAUUACUAGUAGUUGCGGUAAAAUGACUAUGAAAACAGCGAUAUUGACUCAUCUUAUCUGGUGUGCAUGACCUGUAAAACCAACUCUAAUGUAAUUUUCAUAGUUAUUUAUUGACCAGAGGGUCUUUAUAUUGGAGCUUUGCCUGGAUAUUUCUCACAGCUGAUGAGUCUGCAUCCAGAAUGACGACACCAGUCAUACUCCUUUGCUUCUUUUUGGCAUUCUGUCCCCUCUCUGUUGGGACGCCCCUCACUUGUCCUCCAUCGUUUCUGAAUGAGAGCGCACAGCAGGGAUCAGGGAGACUUUGUGCAACGCUGCAACUGCAGACCAAGUUGCCCUGUCCCAGUGUUAACCUGACAGUGAGAGAAAAUGAGAAGCUGAACCCUGAAAAAUGGCAUCUGGAGAGUCUGUCGCUGAAGGUGGAAAAAACCUGCAGUUUUAUGAUGUUUGAACUAGACAAAGAAAGAGCAUUUUCCUGAAGGAUUCUAUUCAAACAUUCCUAUAAACUCCAUCGAUACACAAUCAGAUUUUUUGUGUGUUUGCAAAAAAUUGCACAUCAGAAAGAGACGUACUCCAACAUUUAAUGACUUUGUCAUCAAGCAUUUAGUGGACAAUCCUGCACAUCCAUCUGAUAACAAAUAUUGGCAGAGAGCAUGGGAUUCUGCAUCGAAAUAUAGAGUGGAAGAAAAGAAUAGCAAUAUACCACGGAGACAAUCCUUCAUGGAUAGAAAAUACUUUAAUACAAAGUUCACACGUGAUUUUAAGAUUAAAGCCUCUAAUAACAGAAUGUUAUACAGAAGCACAAGUAGAAUGCCUAUUUAUGAUGUUACUAACAAAAAUGGUAGACUAAUCACAGUGAGAAGAUUUGACUAUGUUGUGGUUGAUCUUGACAACAACAAUCGGCCAGUUCAUUUUGAACCUGUUUCAGAAGAGUUUGCCGAGCCCAUAGAAAAAAUGAAAUCUGGAGAAACUGUUUCAAUAGGAAGAAGUGGUGCAUCUAGUGGAUCCAGAGGAUUGGGAAGAGUAGUGGAGACAUUAGAAGAAGUUGUAGAACCCGUGGCUGAAGGAGAAAGUAUAGCCAUGUCUGUCAUCGGAGCAACAUCUGCAGCGACUUCAGCAGCUACAGCCUUCGCAUCAAUUACACAUUUUUUGACUUUAUUUUUAAUAUAAGCCAAAAAUUAAAUCAUGUUUUAAAGGGUUAUACUUUAAUGUCUACUGUAUGAACCUCAGUAUAUUAUGCUAGAAAUUCAGAUUUAAUGAUAAUUAACAGUAAUGAGCAAUUUAGUCAACCUUAUGAAAAGUAUUUCUCUACAGUGCUAGCAAUGUGUUAAAAUUGUACCUGUGAAUGUGAACAUAACCAUAAAACUACACCUCUAAAAUUUUAAAAACUUAGUAAAAUCAGAUGCACCCAAAA
Megalobrama amblycephala (Wuchang bream) is the source of this 4072-nucleotide RNA transcript. RefSeq lists it as uncharacterized. Lineage: Eukaryota; Metazoa; Chordata; Actinopteri; Cypriniformes; Xenocyprididae. The record is from RefSeq and is a predicted model, not a curated record. The transcript is spliced from 2 exons.